CACGCCCUAAACGAUGUCUACUUGCUGUUGGGGGCAACCUUAGUAGCGAAGCUAACGCGAGAAGUAGACCGCCUGGGGAGUACGGUCGCAAGAUUAAAACUCAAAGGAAUUGACGGGGACCCGCACAAGCGGUGGAUGAUGUGGAUUAAUUCGAUGCAACGCGAAGAACCUUACCUGCUCUUGACAUGUACGGAAGAUUUCAGAGAUGAGAUUGUGCCUUCGGGAACCGUAACACAGGUGC
Molecule: ribosomal RNA, 241 nt
Filed under: uncultured bacterium
Lineage: Bacteria
Description: partial 16S ribosomal RNA
Rfam family: Bacterial small subunit ribosomal RNA
Source: RNAcentral